Molecule: ribosomal RNA, 253 nt
Filed under: uncultured bacterium
Lineage: Bacteria
Description: partial 16S ribosomal RNA
Rfam family: Bacterial small subunit ribosomal RNA
Source: RNAcentral
UACGUAGGGGGCGAGCGUUGUCCGGAAUCAUUGGGCGUAAAGAGCGUGUAGGCGGCUUGGCAAGUCUGACGUGAAAGCCCGCGGCUCAACCGCGGAUUGUCGUUGGAAACUGCCUCGCUAGAGUCCGGAUGAGGAGAGCGGAAUUCCUGGUGUAGCGGUGGAAUGCGCAGAUAUCAGGAAGAACACCCGUGGCGAAGGCGGCUCUCUGGGACGGUACUGACGCUGAGACGCGAAAGCGUGGGGAGCGAACAGG